RNAcentral lists this ribosomal RNA (1214 nucleotides) under uncultured bacterium. RNAcentral describes it as "bacterial SSU rRNA". It matches the Rfam family "Bacterial small subunit ribosomal RNA", at positions 8 to 1232 of the family's 1533-position model. The record is from RNAcentral.
AGAGUUUGAUCCUGGCUCAGGACGAACGCUGGCGGCGUGCUUAACACAUGCAAGUCGAACGCUGAAACCAGAGCUUGCUUUGGUGGAUGAGUGGCGAACGGGUGAGUAACACGUGGGUGAUCUGCCCUACACUUUGGGAUAAGCCUGGGAAACUGGGUCUAAUACCGGAUAUUCACACCACCGUAGGGGUGGUGUGGAAAGCUUUAUGCGGUGUGGGAUGAGCCUGCGGCCUAUCAGCUUGUUGGUGGGGUAAUGGCCUACCAAGGCGUCGACGGGUAGCCGGCCUGAGAGGGUGUACGGCCACAUUGGGACUGAGACACGGCCCAGACUCCUACGGGAGGCAGCAGUGGGGAAUAUUGCACAAUGGGCGCAAGCCUGAUGCAGCGACGCCGCGUGGGGGAUGACGGCCUUCGGGUUGUAAACUCCUUUCGCUAGGGACGAAGCCUUAUGGUGACGGUACCUGGAGAAGAAGCACCGGCUAACUACGUGCCAGCAGCCGCGGUAAUACGUAGGGUGCGAGCGUUGUCCGGAAUUACUGGGCGUAAAGAGCUCGUAGGUGGUUUGUCGCGUCGUCUGUGAAAUCCCGGGGCUUAACUUCGGGCGUGCAGGCGAUACGGGCAUAACUUGAGUGCUGUAGGGGAGACUGGAAUUCCUGGUGUAGCGGUGAAAUGCGCAGAUAUCAGGAGGAACACCAAUGGCGAAGGCAGGUCUCUGGGCAGUAACUGACGCUGAGGAGCGAAAGCAUGGGUAGCGAACAGGAUUAGAUACCCUGGUAGUCCAUGCCGUAAACGGUGGGCGCUAGGUGUAGGGGUCUUCCACGACUUCUGUGCCGCAGCUAACGCAUUAAGCGCCCCGCCUGGGGAGUACGGCCGCAAGGCUAAAACUCAAAGGAAUUGACGGGGGCCCGCACAAGCGGCGGAGCAUGUGGAUUAAUUCGAUGCAACGCGAAGAACCUUACCUGGGCUUGACAUGGACCGGAUCGGCGUAGAGAUACGUUUUCCCUUGUGGUCGGUUCACAGGUGGUGCAUGGUUGUCGUCAGCUCGUGUCGUGAGAUGUUGGGUUAAGUCCCGCAACGAGCGCAACCCUUGUCUUAUGUUGCCAGCACAUUGUGGUGGGUACUCAUGAGAGACUGCCGGGGUUAACUCGGAGGAAGGUGGGGAUGACGUCAGAUCAUCAUGCCCCUUAUGUCCAGGGCUUCACACAUGCUACAAUG